CACAGGUGCUGCAUGGUUGUCGUCAGCUCGUGCCUUGAGGUGUUCGGUUAAGUCCGUUAACGAGCGCAACCCAUGUCGUUAGUUAUAAUGUCUAACGAGACUGCCUAAGGUUAAAUUUAGGAGGAAGGUGUGGAUGACGUCAAAUCAGCAUGGCCCUUAUGCCUAGGGCCACACACAUGAUACAAUGGUCGGUACAAAAAGCAGCAAUAUGGUAACAUAGAGCUAAUCUAAAAAGCCGAUCUCAGUCCGGAUUGAGGUCUGAAACUCGACCUCAUGAAGUUGGAAUUGCUAGUAAUCGUGAAUCAGAUAUGUCACGGUGAAUAUGUUCCUGGGUCUU
This 337-nucleotide ribosomal RNA is filed under the name uncultured bacterium. Its description in RNAcentral is "bacterial SSU rRNA". It matches the Rfam family "Bacterial small subunit ribosomal RNA", at positions 1033 to 1382 of the family's 1533-position model. The record is from RNAcentral.